Molecule: transfer RNA, 90 nt
Filed under: Dreissena polymorpha
Lineage: Eukaryota; Metazoa; Mollusca; Bivalvia; Myida; Dreissenidae
Rfam family: tRNA
About the family: Transfer RNA (tRNA) molecules are approximately 80 nucleotides in length. Their secondary structure includes four short double-helical elements and three loops (D, anti-codon, and T loops).
Source: Rfam by way of RNAcentral
GCCGGAAUAGCUCAGUUGGGAGAGCGUUAGACUGAAGUUGUUUACGCAACAGUCAUCUACAGGCCCCCGGUUCAAUUCCGGGUUCCGGCA